GCCCCCACGAUUGUCGGGAGCACCCCAGCUGCCCAGGGCAGUCUCCGACGUCUCUUUCUGGAGGCCGUACCUCAACUGUUAACAUGUACCUUUUUCUUAAACUUGGAGGGGGCUCCUCAAGAUUUGUGAGCAAGUGGUUUAUACAAGACGUGCUCUCAGGGAAGGCCAUUCCAGGAGGCAAUGCGGGCAGCAAGAGAGGAAAGGGGAUGAAGCCACACGGCGAGCAGACACUUGCCAGCUCCCUGCCCUCGGCCCCCAGCCAGCGUCUUAGCCUUGGCAGGACGCUCAGGGAAGGAUGCUGACUUCUUGGAAGAGACAACAGAGCUUCACGGAGGGAACGCCAGCCUGGGGGCGUGGCCCUGCUCCCGCCAGGAUGUGGAGAACGCUUGGCCAUGUGGGUUUGCUUUAUUUGUGACAAAUUGUGCUUGGGGCUUUGGAGGGCGUCAGGAUUGCUUCCUCAGCAGCUGCGAGUGCAGAGGAGGGACUCUGGCCCUUUGUAGGUGAUGGAUGUUACCUGUGCACAUACCCUCCAUCUCCGCUUGUCCUGCGGAGAAAUGCCUGACUCCACCCUUGUGACAGGCAGUGGCUUUCAAAUAGAAAACUUUUUUGAACCAAUUCCGACUUUAGGAAAGCAGUGUUGGUGUUGGUGCUCCUUUGUGGAAUAGGAACGUAUGCUUGGUUUAGAAGGAAUGCCACGUGGCCCAUUUGUCUUCAGUGUUGAAUCUGUGUUUAGGAGGACUUCCUGGAGGUGACGGCAACCUUGCACAGUGGGACUGAGUCUGGGAUGAUUUUUUGCUGUUGGAGGCAUGCUUUACCAAGGAGUCACAGCACCUAUUUCACCUAUCGCAUCGACUCAUCGAAUCCUGCCUAUUGGGAUCUUCUGGACACAGGUCUCACUUUCCGGAAGGUUCUUUGAUGUCCUCCUCCUUCUAAGUAUCAAAUGCUGCUUUGGAGAUAUUUCUGGAAGAGACUGCAGGGCUGGCCCGCUCCCGGCCCCCUCGGCCUGGGCAGGUGAGAAGACAUGGAGUGCACGUCACGCCUUCAUUAAGGACGUGUGCCUGAGGAUCCUGCCCGUUUGGGAGCCAUUGCUCGCUGAGGAGCCGACUUGGUGAAGAUUAUACUGUGGGUCUGUCGUCCCAGUUGUCCAUGGAAGCUUGUCUGCCCAGUGUGACUUUCGUUUUUGAGGACUCGAGCACAGGAUCUCCUUCUCCUGGACAGAACCCUUCUUUGGUAUUUAAAAGAUGAAUCAUGCGUGGACCUGCCCUCGGUCAGCAUCAAGUCAUACCCAGAAGACUUGCCAGUACAACGUCAGGCUUAGGAGAGCGACGUGUUGUCAGACCCUUUCAAGGGUAACUCAUGAGUGACGGUGGACCACAAAGCACCGACUUUGUUUAUGAUGGUUUCAAGCCUGAUCAACCAACCGGGUGAGUCCAUCUCAGAGGACUUCCUGGAGGUGGCGUCAGCCUUUGGGAAGAAGCUGAGAUGUGCUCGUUAAUCCUCCUCUUCAGCGUUCAGGCGGAUGUUCUGCCGCUCGUGGUCCCUCAGAUGAAUCUAUAAGCGCUAGUUCUAUUUGUGACUUGUGGUUCAAGGCCCGCCUGGAGACUGUCCGCAGGAGCUGCGUGGCCCUGGGGAAGAGCUGUGGGAGCCACACCCCGCCAGCCAGGUACGUGGAUGUUAGAAGGUCGGGGGAAGUGCUUCUGUCUUGACGUUUGUCCUCUGGUCCUCUGACCUCCUGCAUUCUGUUCACGCUUAGGACGACGGCCGGAGGAAGAGGGCUCUGAUCUGUUUACGGAGACAUUUCUCGGGCCAUGUGACUGUCCGCUUUCACCCCCUGGCUGCCAUGGGGGGCAUCACAGCAGCGCCCCUGGAGGAGAACGAAUGCCGUCUGAGACAGGUGAGCCUCUCACUUGGGGAUGAGUCAGGUCGCCCACUCACCCGUGGCUUUCUGCUCCUUCCGUGGGGACCCCUUCAGCAGGGGAGGCCGCCAUGGGGAAUGGGUCAUGGCUCUGCUUUCUCCAUUACUCUCUGGUACGUGGGGUUUGACUCCUUUUCCAUAUCAACUUUUUCCUAGUAUGGCCUCCUGGGCAUGAAGUCAACCUCCAGGAGCGUGGUGGGGAGGAGGCUGGUGCUGGGGAACAACAUUGAUCUCCCUGCCUCUGUGGGAGGUAUGAUGGGUUGGUGACCACAGGGCCUUUGCUUUGUCUGCGGUGUAAAUUCACCAGGUCCCCUUGCCCUCAGUGCCCAGUGCGUUAUCAGGAAAACUUCCUGGAGAAGGUGCCCGUGCUGGUUCUGCCCCAGCAUCGUUCUACAGAAAGCAAGGAGCCGAGCUCGUACACUGAAAGGUCAUGGGGUUGAUCCCCUUUUCAGGAACAAGUCCUGAUUUGGAGAGAUUCUGGGAAAUGAUGCCAAUUUCAGUGAAGGGGCACUGGGGUCUGCCCCUCCUUGGCCUCUGAGGGAUGGAGAGCUGACCAGUGAGCACACACCUGGCAGGCGGUGUGUGUCCCCUGGUCUGCUGAUCCUGCCUCUCCAUCCUACUCCCCAGGAUGAAUCCCGGGAGACGAGGCCAGCCCCCUGAGUGAUAGCCAUGGACCUGCCCAAUGCUCUUGUUUGGUACUUAAAGCGAGGUUGCCCUUUGUAUAUUCGGUUUAUUGACAUAGAAUAUACAAGGGCAAGCUCUCUGUGAGUAUCAAACCUUGUCUGGGAGUCUCCUUGGACCCCGUCCACACUCAGCAAGGGAUGCGGUAUGUGUGUGCAUGAUGGUGCGUGUCCAUUUGGUGUGUGGCAAAUCGCUCUGGGUCACCAUUUUGCAGAGACGACGUUAGGGCAGGCUGGGGCCUGUUUGGCGUGGGGGGGUCAGAAGGCAUGCGCUGUGUGUGCUCUGGUCCCGAGCCGGCCGGUCAACAUCGGUGUGGGGCGGUUUUAUCGUCAUGUGGUGUUUUGUACUUGAAUGUGCACGUUGAUGCCCGGGGCCUGUGACCUGGUCCACUAACCCUCAGCAUCUAAUUCAUCUCCAGGUCUGCGCCUUGAAGACAUACCAAGUCCUCCCAAGGCGGUGGCUUUCUUUUCCGUGCUAACCUUUGGUACUUGGAGAGUGGUUAUCCCUGUCCUGUUCGUUUUAAUUACGUCGAAUCGUACAGGGUCAUCCACUUUUUCAGUAUCAAGAGCGCAGACUGUAGAGCUCGAUUUCCUGUGUUUGGAUCCCGCCUCUGACGCUUACUAACCGUGCGACCUUGGGCAAGGAUUUCGUCGUGCUGUGCCUGCUGUCUCACGGGUCCAGUGGGAGGCGGAGGGCGGCUGGGGGCUGGAAGAGUUAAGACUUGUCCGGGCUCAGACGCGAGCCUGGUGCUCGGCACCUCCUCAGCCGUAGCCUUGACGCUUAUGUUCUAUGAAACUGUUGGUGUUGGUGUUAUUAUUAAAAUCUCUCCUUGAAGUUUUGGAGCAAUGUCGAGAUGUGGACGUCAAACCCUCCGUCAGGUAUGUGACUGGAUUAUGGAGCCCAGAGUUUACACCAUAUUUAGGAUGGGGGUGACCGAGGGGUCUGGAUGUGGAGCAGCUAAGCCCUUCCAUGAUGGCAUUUGGAAAACGAGGCCAAAUGGAGUGGGAUCAGCAGGCCCGAGACGGCAGGGCCACCCAGAAUGUUUUCUCCAUGUAAGAGGGGCACUCCUUGGAUCCUUGACCUCAUCCCGCAUCCACCCCGGAAGGAUUCUCGGGCGUGGGCGCUGAGCAGAGUCAGGAGCGGGUUCUGGGGCAGCUCUCCUCCCUAGAGCUUGAAGAGAGGUCAUCCUUGGGGCAUGCCUCAUGCGUGUGUGUGUGUGGUGUGUGCACACGUGCGUGUGGGCCUGGGUUUGCUGAGUUUCAGUCAUCGUCCAGCCUAGAGCGGAAGACCUGGAGGUGCCAGUGUUCCCGUCCGUGCCGCUGUUUCAUACUUGAGGAGAAAUUAUCCUUGCUGUGUUCGCUUUAUUUGUGAUGAAUCAUACAAGGACAAUUUCUUUUUGAGUAUCAAAUCCUGCUUCAGCGGACCUCCUGGACUCCCUGACAAAUUCGGAAAAGCGUUGUGUGCGUCAGCCUCUCCCCGGGGCUCCAGCCGGGAAGGGAAUGAGAGAGCAUGCGUCCAGCUUGUGCUGAGAGCCCUGUGCUCCAAGCCUCAGGACCCUGGAGACAGGGCCUCGCUCGGCAAGGGGCUGGUGGGCUCCUUGGUAUUGCCUCUCACCCACAUUGGUCAUGGGUGUGUUUUACGGGUGACACGGCACUCAUGGCUCAUCAAGUCCUGCUUCUUGGAGGCGCUUCCUGGACGUGAAGCCAAUUUUGGCAACGGGUCGCUGGUGUCAGUGCCCCUCGUCCUGCCUGAGGAUGUGACUGACCCCUGAGCAUGUGCCUGACUCUCAGUAUGUGAAGCUGACCCUCUAACCUGCAUUGUCUGGACCACCUGAGAACUUUCUGGAAGGGACGGUGACUUUGGAGAAGACGCUGAGCUCUUCUGGAUGGCGCAGGUCUUUGGUGCUUAAAGAAUGGCUGUCUGUAGUAUGGUCUCCAUAUUCAUGGUGAUUAAUAUCGGACAACCAUUGUUUUAGUAUCAAAUUUGCUUCACAAGUUUUCUCCAGCGCCGUGCCGACUUCAGCAAGAGAACACUGGUGCCUCCCCGCCCUGCAGAGCGUGACUUUAUUGAAGAUCUCUAAUAACUAAUUCAGUGACCCCAGAAUGCAAGCCAUUGGGGUGAUUUCCUUGAACUAAUACCAGCCUUGGGGUGGAGAUAGAAAUUGGGUGCUCGGGGCCAUUUGGAAGAUGUUGGUAAUUUUCAUCUGUCUUUCUCUUCUUGUGAUUAACUCUUAGCCUUGAGGAAUUCCUUAAAGAGAUGCUGAUGUCAAGCAUCUGUCUAGGCAGCUAGAUGGUGGACCGGGGCAUCUGGAUCCGCGUCCCCUGAGCUUUGGCAUGCAUUCUGAGCAUGGAAGACUUCCUGGAGGAUAUGCAAACGUUGAGGAAAAUAGUACAUUUCUUGCCGCUACUCCUGUUUGGUGCUUCUGAGCGCAGUGCAUUGAAUAUUCAGUUUAUUUUUGAUGGACAUGGCAUGACCACAUGCCUUCUCUUGGAUCCACAUCAUUUUAGAGAUUCUCAUGGAAUACAAACUUUAGGAAUCAGACAUUGUGGUCAAUGGCACCUCUGGGGGUGUGCGUGCGUGUGUGUGUGUGUAUGUGUGUGUGUGUGAGUUGUUGGCUAGAGCAGUGUUUCUCAAACUUUAAAAUGCUUCUAAGAUUUUCAUCACCUAGGGAUCUUGUUAAAAGGCAGAUUCUGAUUCAGGGACCAAGAUUCUGCAUUUUUAGCAAGUUCCCAAGUGAUGCUAACGCUACUGGUCAGUGGACAACACUCGGAACAGUUCAGGGCUGGAGAUUGUGUGCUUUAUCUGUGAUGUGUGUCCCCAGAUCCCCACCUUCCAUAUGCCAUCCAUCAUGAGACCACUUCCCAGAAUCAAUACACUGCUCUUUGGUUUGUGAACAAGGGUUAUCUGUGAUGGCUCACUUGAUGCAUGAAUGUCAUGAGGUUUCUCUUCCUCAGAAUCAAAUCAUGCUUCAAAGGGCUUCACAGAUACAAGACCCGCUUAAGGGAGAGGCCCCGAGUGUCCGCCCAGUGCAAGAUACGUCAGGUGCUGGCUCAACAGCAUUACUGAUGCCUCGGGCCAUCUAAUUCUGUAAUCCUCCAUUUCCAGUCGGUCUGAAGGAGGAGUUCCUGGAACCGAGGCCAUCCUGCGGUGGAGACCCUGUCUCGGGGAUUCACGAUGCUCCAUUUUGUCAGCAGAGGAUGUGCACACCCGAUUCCCUGACCCUUGGGAUUCAGCUCAUCCUAAGAAGAAUCUUCUAGAGGCAAAGCCCACGGUGGGGAAGAGGCCAUGGUUUUCGUUUCAGAACUGUUCAAGGAUAUUUGAGGAGAGGUUAUCCGUGUUAUGUUCGCUUCAUUCAUCAUGAAUAAUACAUGGUUAACCUCUUUUUGAAUAUCAGACUCUGCCUCGGAGGGCCGCCCGCACAAGAGACGUGAGAGCGUGUGCCUUGUGUGGGAUGUGAGCCCGGGGCGUCCUGAGCUCCGUGAGGCAUGCUUCCUGGAAGGGCGGCGCCGCUGGGGAGAGCCCGGGUCGCUUUGCAGUGUUUUUGCAGUGAACUUUUGCGGUGUUUUUGUGGUUUGUAUGAAGUUGCCCCCGCUUUCAAUGCUGACUUGCCUUGGAGUGAGGGUGUGAUGCAAGCUCAGCUCCAGAGAUGGGGCCUCUGUGUCCGCAGCACUGCCGGGCAAGUCGGUGGGCGCCUGAUCGCCGAGCCCACCCCCAAGGCUCGAGCUCUCCCUGGCACUGAUCCUCUAAACUCAGUCCUUUGCAGGGCGGCUUCCUGGAGGCUGGGCGGGGGAAAAGAUGUGGUUUCCGCUCCAUCCGGACACUCGAGGGAAGGUCACUUCCUUCACGAAGACUCCUCUGAGGGCAGUCUGCUUUGGAAGGUCAAGUCCAACCGGUUGACUGGCUGGAUGCAGGGCCACCAGCUCCCCAGGUGUGUGAAAGGCCAGCCGACCUCUGCUCGACCUCCCCGUUUCUCUCCGAGGUCACCCAUCCCAGUGUCCAUCUCCUCUGCAGGUAGAUUUCCAUGAGGCACUGCCGGCGUAGCCAGAGGGGUUUACCGUCCCGCUGCCUGGCACUUGGAGACACUGGCCCUGAGCUGCACUCCCUUCGCUCAUUCUUGAUGGAGACCAUGCAGCCGAUGCCUCUUCCUCUCUUCAGCUCUGUCUCACAGGGCUUCCUGCACGUGGCGCUCAGUGCAGGAAUAGAACCCAUGCUUUUGGGGAAGGGAGGCUGGCCCAGAUCCCAAAUUUGGUGGAGAUGUCACCUGCGCCCCACUACCUUCAGGAUGUCGUCUGCAUUGAGGGCGACAUCCUGGAGCUGCUGCAAUGCCCUGCUCUUCCCCAUCUUGAUGACUUUAUUGAUUCGUGAUUACCAGCAUGGUUGAGGCCUUUCAGGGAAUCAAUGCGGGAUGGACGCCUGGUGGGGGCACCAGCUUCACAGUAAGAAAACUCUCUGCUUCCCCGUGAGGUAUGUGAGUACAGAGUUGACCCCGGGUGUGCACUCUGUUGAUGAAUGUCUUACCCCGUCCACUAACCCAGAGAUUUAUACCACUCUCAGGAGAGGCCCCAGGAACAGCAGAAGCUUUGGAGAUGGGAUGGCGUUGUUCUUGUCAGUGUCCGCACAUGAGGUUUGACAAGGGACCAUCAGGGCGCUCUUCCGUCGUCUGUGACAGAUACCACAGUUGACCUCAUUCUGGUACCAUGGAAGAUGGUGUGGAGGUGUCCUACCUUCAGGGAGGGCUCUGUGUCAGCCCCGUCACACAGUUACAUGGGCGGAGGGUCAGCAUGUGAGGUCCACAGGCCCUCAGAACACAAUCCUUCUUUUGGGGACUUCCGGGGGCCAGGCCAUUUCAGUGCUCAGCUCCACCUCAUCUCCCUUGAAGAUAGUUUCCAUCUGUAUUUAUGGCGUAUAUUAAAUGGUCUUUCAGCUCUCGUUAUCCUACCUGGCCCCCGGGGACGUCCCACAAGAGAGGAGUACUGCAGGAUGACAUCCGUCAGGGAUGGAAUUCCAGCCUUUACCUCCCCAGUACUUGAAAGGAUGGUCUAUCCCAGAGCCUGUGCCUAGUUAGCAUUCAGCCACUAGACCCCCAAGCUGUAGCAUCGAGGCCUUGGAUGCUCCACCUCCGGGGAUGAGCAGCGUCGGGGUUGACUGUGGGGUGUCACCGUGUUUGUGGUUAAUCACAUCAGAGCUGCUGUUUUUCAGGACAAACCGGCACCUGGAGAUGUGCUCCUACAGGACUCCAACCCGAGAGCCGAGUGUUGUCCAUGAUAGGGGAAUGGAUGGUUGAUCAGAGAACAUACAUUUUAUCAAUGAUGUAUGUCAACUGAUCCACAGUCCCUACCUAUCCAGAGACUUCUCAGGACAGACUCCGGGAGAAGAGGAGGUGGCUUCCUUAGCCCUGUAGUACUUGGCCCUUGCAAAGACCUUCUCCUAGCCGAGUUGGCUCUAUUUAUGCUGAGUCAUAUGAGGGAAGGUUUGUUUUUUUUAAGUAUUGAUCUUGCCUGGAAAGCUUCCUGGGAAGAGCUGUUGGCCUCAGCCCCUUCCCAGGAGACAAGAAUGCAUGGUUGGCCAGAGAGCAUGGGCUUUGUCUACACCGUGCACCACCCAACUCUCCUAACCGUCAGUCCCCAAUUCAUCCUUAGGAGGACUAGCUGGAGGCAAGGCCGACUCUGGUGAAGACACGUUCAUCAGCGUUAGCCUUCGGUACUUGAAGAGUGGUUAUCCCUGCUGUGUUCGCUGUAUUUAUGACGAAUCAUACAGGGACAUCCAGUUUUUCAGUAUCAAAUACUGCUUUGGAGGGCUGCCUGGACAGCGUUCCGCCUCUGGGGAAGAGCUCUUGGCUUUUGUACCUGCACAAGGUACGUAUGUGGAUGGUGGAUCACAGUGCACAUGCUUCCUUUAAGAUGCAUGUCACUCGUUGCACCAUGAGCAGAAUCUAAUCUCUGCGGAAGGUGGCCGCCGAGGAGGGCUGUGGUAUUCCAGAAGGGGUGCUGGUAUCGGCACCAAACCAUCAUGGAAAGUUGACCAGUGAGGAUCCCACUCACACAGAACAUCUGCCACCGGUUUCUCUUUCCAUCGUACGAAACCCCAUCCUUUUGUAGGGUGACUCCCUGGAGGCCGUGCCAACGUGAGGACGCGGCAGUGAUAUUGUGUGGUACCUAACUGGUCAUUCUUAUUGCAUUUGCUCCAGGGAUCACUCUUUUUGAGUGUCAAAUCUUGCCCAGGAAGGCUUUCUGGAAACAGUGCCAACGUCAGGGGAGACGUGUUGGCAUCGCGUCGUUCCAGGGCACACGGAGAGUUCGUUGAGCAGAGUCUACUCUUUGUUUCUGACAGGUCUCUCUCGGUCCACUCUCCCACAAGACCCAGCCCAUCUUUAUAAAUGCUUUGGGGAAGGGAUAUCUGCUUUGACUGUGAAUGCUUUUUCAAGAGGGCUCUCUUUUUCCUUUAUCAGAUUCUCUUAUUAGCACAACCACGUGGUCCAUGAAUUGAUCGAUCAACGAGGAAUGAUUUAGCCAUUCCACAAAUAAGGAUUGACUGUAUACUGUAUUCUAGUUGAUUCUAGACCUUAGCUGUUUCUUCUAAACUGGGGGUAGAGCAGUGAACAAGAUGAAGUCCUUGUUCACAUGGACUUUAUGAUCUCGUGGGGAGACGGACAGUAAAAUACAAACUAUGAAACAUAAUUUUACCCACUGUGGAGUUUUAUGGAGAAAAGGACAGCAGGGUAAGGUGGCAGCAAGAGGCAAAAGUGGAUGUUAUGUUAAAUACAGGGGUAUGGAAAGGUCUCUCUGGGGAGGGGGAGUGGGAACAGAGUAAGGGGAUGGGUCAGAUGGAGGUCUGGGGUGGGAGUGUUUUGGAACUAGGAGAUGGCACAUGAAAAGCCCUCUGGCGUCUUUGAGAAAAAGCAAGAAGGCCAGUGGGACUGGACUGAGCCAUGGAGGAGUGGAUCUGAGGUGAAAGAGGCAGGCUCAGAGGCUGGGGCCUGUUCAGCUUUUAUUCUGAGUGAGAUGGAAGCUCUGGGAGGGUUCUGAGCAGGGAGGGGUGUUUGGUCUCUGUUGAAAUGAUCACUGAUAACAGAGGUGGCCACAGAGAGCCCAUCUAGGCUGUUGUGUAGAUAUGGGGGUGAGUCAAUGGAAGGUGGUGCUAGGACAGGAGCCCCCACCAAGGUGGGGGACAUGGGGAACAUGGGAUGUCCUAAAGGGUAGAGCCUUUCGGAUUGGGUGGAUUGGGUGAGCCCAGCAAGGGUCAGGAGUGAGAAGGUGGGGAGGGGAUGGGCCAGAGGUUCUGAAGGUGAUCAUGGCUGAGUCAGGGUUCUAGAGUAAGUCAGUGGUAGCCCGGAGCUUUGGGAGAAAGUGUCAUGACUAGUACUGUCAGGAUCCAAGCUGAGGCAGUGACCCUGGGGCUGGAGGACCAGGUGAGAUGGAAGCAAAGGUCACUGGAAGUGAGGAAUCCCCAGGCCGCUGCUGGGGAGCUGGGUAUAGCAUCAACGUGUGGUGGUUAACGAUACGAGAAGGAAAUCGGGAGGUGUCAAGGGAAGAAGAUGGUGACCCAGAAGCUAUCAAGGAGGACCUGGGUGACCAUUAUCCAGCUGGUGGGCAAUGGGUCUCAUUUAUGCACUGUGAAUGAAAGGAAAAGGGGGGAAAAAUGGUCUGGAAGUAGAGAUGUGGAGCAAGGAUGCCAUCUACCCACUGCAAGCCUUUGGUGUGGGAAAUGGGAGGACAAAUAGCCCUCCAGAGGUGGAAGGCGCAGCAUGUGGAGGAGAAUGUGAUGGCCUGCUGUGAUGGGCCAUCAUUCCACAUGCGCCGUGGAAGCGCGGGGGCACGUGGAGGGAAGGCGGGAGAUGGGCUCUUACGUUGAGCCUCUGAGUAUGAGGAUUGGCUUCACCAGGAGUGGUGAAUUCAGGAAGUGGAACCUGGUCCGACUGGUCUGAGGUUGUUUGGUGAAGGUGGGCGACUGACUUGGUGGCAUCCUUUGUGGAAUUGCUUUCUUGGGCAGUUAUCAGGGUGAGAUGGGUGGUGGAGCGGAGCGGGUAGGAGGGGGUUGGGGGUCUCCCUGCAUCAUGGAGAGCUUGGUGAGCCUCCGUCAGAUGGUCCUGAGGGUGCCUCGGGCCCCGGGCCAGAGCAGCCAGCAGUGGCCUUGGGGCUCUCACUGGAACCACCCCCAAGUCAGAAAGGAGCUUGGCUAGUGCCUCAGCACGCUUGAUGGAUAACUGAGUGUGCUCUGUUGAGAAGUCCACUGUCCCCGUUCAGAAACCCUUGGGUCCACACACCUGUGGAGACCUCCUGACCUGUGCCGAGUUCACAUUGUGAAGCGCAAGUGGCCUCUCUCAUUUCUAAACCCCACCCCUGAGGACUCAGGAACGCAGUGUCAAAUCCGGGGAAGGGGGACUGUGGCAGCCCCACUCCAGGGCAGGUGAGUGGACGACCCCCCAGACUCCGGUGUGUUCUCAGGACACACGUCAACCAUCUCACUAACGCUCGGUGUUCCAUCUGCCGGCAGGACGGCGGCUGGAGGCCACGCCCCUUGGAGCAGUGGACGGGGACCCCUUGUCUGUCUUGUCUCUGCUUUUCUGUGGUACUUGAAGAGAAGUUGUUCGUGGUGGAUUCGCUUUACUUAUGACGAAUCAUUCACGGACAACACUUUUUUCAGUACCAAAUGCUACCUCUAAGGACCUCCUGGACACGAUGGCGGCUUGAGGGAAGAUGUCUCCGUGUCGUCAACCAUGUGGAGAAGACAGGAAUGGCUGGUUGGCCAGGGACACCAUGUUUGACUAGCUGUAAGUCAGCGGGUCCACUAACGAGAGCAUCCGAUCCAUCUGUAGGAGGCCUUCCCUAGGCCACGCCAACUCGAGGAAAACAGCCGUGGUUCUGUCACCAGCGUCACCUCACAAGACUUUGAAGAGAGGCUUCCUGAGCCCAAGGCCGACUUCCAGAAGAGAUGCUGGUGUCAGCACUGUCCAGGGUGUGUGACUGGUUGACCAGAGGGGCAAGCACUCUGUUCACCCUGUGGGCCACCUAGUCACCAACCCUCAGCACCCACCCCGCCCACCCCGGAAGACUUCAAGGAGGUCCUGCCAACUUUGGGCCCGCGGCAAUGGACUUGUGGUGGCGACUGCUCAGUGGAACUGGACAGCCGUGGUUGGGAGGGUGUGUUCACUUAAAAAUUGAUGAGUCAUCCUUGGUACCCCCUUCAUCACUAUCACUGUCACAGCAUCCUUGAAGCGUUCCUGGGACCUGACGUUGCCUGUUGCCUUCCGAUGAGGGACCUGAAGCGAGCGGGCCAGCUCCUCUCCAGGGAGGAUCCGUGGAGGUGGUGCCUGCUUUGGGAAGUGGCCGUGGUUCUCCAGUCAGUGCUGCUCCAUCAUAGGAACCGAAGGGCUACCACCAAGGCUACUUCAUGACGGCUAUAGAAUGCCACCCCCUCUUGCCCAGGAGGACUAACAGGACCCACCCCCUGAGGGUAAGUGCGUCUCGGGUGAGCAUGCAAUUGAUGUAGUAGUAUGUCACUCGGCCCACUACCCAAUCUUGUCCCACCCUUUCCUUACAGGGCUCCUGCGAGGGGCAGCCGCCUUUGCAGUAGAGGCAAUGGAUUUCUCGCCAGUGUUCGCUUUUGGUACUUGAAGAGAGGCUGGCCGUGAUGAAUUCGAUUCAUCAAAGCGAGUCAUACACGGCUCUCCUCUCUUUUAGUGUCAAAUUCUGCCUCGGGGGGCUUCCUGGGCCAGUGCUGUUUCCAAGGUAGGUGCCGGGAUGGCUGAGCCCCUAGCAAGCGCUUUCCUGAGGAUGCGUGUUACUGACACACUAACCCCAGCGUCUGAGCUGGCCCUAAGGCGACUUUCUGGGGCAGCGCCAACUUUACGACGACCUAGAGAGGCUGUUGUAAUGCCCUAACUUUUAAAAAAUUAACAUUGAAAUGCACAUGGAUGACUUUUUUUACCAUCAAAUCCAACCUUGGAGGGGCACCCGGAAGCAUGUUUUAUUAGUCAGCUCUCAGAUAUGGGAGAGAACAGGAGGCAGGACCUGUGGGAACCCUGGUUUACCGACCCGCAGCAGCCCCACAUCCUCCAGGGAGCUCCUGUAGGGUGAUCCCAGCUUUACCAAGGGGCAGUGGCAACCUGUUCUUGCAAACUGUGUUCUUUCAAGAGCUCUUUGCUUCCUUUGUAAUGACUCUCACGCAGCUGACUUCUUUGCAUUGUUGACUGUUGCUUGCAUGGCCAGCCAAGUACAGGAAGUGGCCUUCCUGUCCCCACUAAUCCCGGGUUGGUGUACAAGGGGUUGGCCAGAGAGCAUACGUUUGGCAUGGGGAUUGAGCCAGUUGGUCCACUCAUGCUCGGUGUCCCGUCCACCCUCAGAGGCCAGUCCCAAGCCGCCCAGGCUGCAUGGACGCAGGGAUGCUGCGAGCAGCGCCUCCUCAUGGUACUCGGAGGGAGGUUGUCCGUGGUGAGUUCGCAUUAUUUAAUGAUGCCCAAUACACGGUCGAUCUCUUUUCGGUAUCACAUCUCGCCAGGCAUCUUCUUGGAGGGAGCUGAUGCUGAUUUCUAGGAAGCCACAGUCACGUUGGCCCCAGGACAGUGUACUGGAACAUGUGGGUGGCCCUGGAACGAGCGGGUAGGUGCUGCUAGUGGUCCCUGCCCUCAUUCGGUCUGUUCAUGGAAGAUGCUGCCGGUUUUGGGGAAGAAGCAUGUGCACUAGGUUUAAGAGCUUAAGUGACUGGGGAAACGGUGUCCGUGAUGCUUCUGAGGUUUUUUUGUUUUUUAAAGGAAAACAGUAGGUAGUUCCCUUCUCUUUCAGUAUUAAAAUUUGUCUUGGAGGGAGGACCCCUUAGAUAUGUCGGCAAAGUCAGGGAAGGGGCAUCACACUCAGCAGUUUUUUCUGGGCCAAGCGAGUGGGUGAGUCACCAUAUCUGUUGACCUGGAGGUCACCCCAAAUUCAAGGACAGAGGGCAGCUCUAUUUUUAAUUUAGUUUUUCUUUUCAAAAAGAAUAAUUAUUUUCCUUUAUCACCGUAUUUAUAAAAACAAUAUACUUAUAAUAAAAAAUUCAAGCAAGAUGGAAAAAUGUAAAUAAAAAGAGAGACAAUUACCCAAUUCUCUGUCCACCCAGAAAUAACCCUCAGGGUUUUAGAAAUUUCAAAUACCUAUCUGAGCAUAUAUGCAAAUAGGAAGGUAGAUAGGCAGAGAGAAAGAUAUUUUACAAAUCUGAGAUCACACUGUACGUGAUCCUUAUUAAAAGUGUUAACUAAAAUUUUACUGGAAUUUAACCUAAAGAAUGAGCUGAUGAAAAUUGGAAGAAUUGAUAAAUGUUUCUCCUUCUACCACAAGAAGUAUCAGUUCCUAAAAGAUCCCCAUAAAAAUCAAGAAAAAUUAUUGUGUAAAACAUUAAGUGGUUGGGAUCAUUAUAUAUUUUAACUGUUUCAGUUUCACUCCUAGUUCUGAAAUAUAAGAAAAUCUUUCUUACUUUUUUCCCUACUUCCUGAUUUUCUUUUUUGGUAUAUAAUUUAAUUUUUCCAUUAUAAAUAUGUGCAUUUUGUUCUAUAACCACAGUUUUUGCAGGUGUUUAAUCAUAGUUCUAUAUUUAAAUCGAUUCAUUACUGACCACUAGUUGGUUUUUUUCCCUUCAACAAAGCCUUUCGAUUCCUGAGUUUUUAAUUUCAGUGCAUCUCUCAAUAGAAUGGAUUUCUCAUUAUUUCUUUAAGAAGGGCUCAUAGAUGCUAGCCCUCAGUCCUGGCACGUUUGAGAAUAUGUCUCUCUCACUUCUAUACCCAAGGGACAGCUUAACUAGGUAUAAAAUCCUCAGCCUCUUUUUUUCCCUUAGACCCUUGUAGGUAAUGCUCCACGGUCGUCUGCUGUUAGCGUUUCCCUGGCUUUUUUGAUGGGGCCUUUCCUCACAGCUCUUCCUUAGCUGGGCUGCAUCACCUACGGGAUUUUCACGCACCUUGUUGGAAGACUUGGCGGCCCUCUCCUCCAGGAGGUCUUUCUUCUCUGAGAAUGUCUGACCACAGCUCUUCCACCUUUACUCAUCGGCCUAUUUUGUUUGAUACUGUUCUAGUCAGCCCCAUGAUUUCUAGCUCUUUUUCAUCUUUUUGGUCACUUUGAAGAUGCUUCUUGUACCAUUUCUCUCAGCCCUGGGGUACAAGUCCUUCUCUUUGUUGAGUCUGUCGACUCACGACGGUGCCUGUCUUCACGGGUCUGGUAACUUUUCAUUGUGAGAUUCCCGUUAGUGGGCAUUGGAGGGUUUCUGUUGCGUUUUGUUCCCUGUGCCAGAGCUGCAGCAGCACGCUUCUGCACGGGCGUCUGCCUGGCCCCCCAGGGGUCUCCCCGACUGGGACCGAUUUUCCCACGCGUUCGUUGGCUUCAGGAUUCCCGUCCCAUCGGCUGGUGUAAAUCCUCAUCACAGCUUUGUCCUGGAGCUUUGGCUUCUCAGAGGAGAGCUCCUCCUGCCCACUCUGCUGUCACUUCUCUGGGGCAGUAUAGAGUCUUCUGGCUCCCUUUUCUGUCCCAGGUCCCCACCUCUCUGGGGUCCAAGAUCACAUCUCCAGCUCGGACGUGACGACCCCAGGCUCUCCGAGCCUCCAGCCAGCACAGCACCACUUCGGUCUCUUGGUGGCAGGUUGCAAUCUUGUUGUUACGCAUUAAGUCUGUCUUCCCUGGCAGCUGAGGGUGUCCCUUCCUCCCAUUCCUUCCAGCUGUGCAUUUAUUUACCAGUUGUUUUUGGCUGGGGUUGCAUUUUAUCCAACAUUUCUCUGAGUUUGUGGAGGAGAAGGGCUCUCCCUUAGCUCUUCGCCAGGAUCUGACUCAGUCGCUAUGGUUCUUUUUCAGUUUUUCUGAAUCAUAUUAAGCCUUCUUGAUUAGUAAGGUUAGCUGUUCCUUCAUUUCAAGGCUGUCUUCUUCUAUGAUUUCUAUGAGUGCUUUUCUACUCUGUGUUAGUUUUUCAUGGGUUACAUGGUCACUUGUUUAUUUCCUUAUCGGCUAGAGGAGGAAAAAUCUGUGAUCUGACUCCAUCUGCCAUCUUUAUCUAGAACUCUCUCGACUGUCAUUUGCACUCUGCAUUUGCUCUUUAGAAUGAAUCAUACCCAGAUGCCCCCUCUUAGUAUCACCUUCCACCUUGGCAGGAUGCCAUUGCAGUGCCAGCUUCUGGGACGGACGUGGAGUCAACACCGUUUGCUAGGUAUGUGAAUUUACUUUUAACAAGGGAGGAUUUAUUUUUGAUCCUGUAUCUGCUGUUCUAUUAACCUUAAGUGUGCAUUUUACCCUUAGGGAGACUUCUUGGAAGUCGUGCCCACCUUUGCAGAUGAGGCCACAAUUCUGAGGUCAGUGCCGUGCUGUGGUCUAACGACGUUUGCAUUCCAUGCUGCCAAUUUUCUUUAUGAUCAACGUUGCAACGUCAACUUCGCCAUGAAUUCCCACUUUCGAGGGCUUCCUGGACACAAGGCCGCUGUGAGGAGGGGAUCUCUGCUGUCAGCUUUGAUGCUAAUGUGACAUGAGGAAAUGUUCCUUAAUGUGAUCAAAAUAGUGAAUUUUUAUGCGCUUAACCUCUCCACCUUCAACCCCACCCCCUCACCCCCACCCCGAAAGUGCUUCGUAGAUACCCCACCAAGCAUGGCAAAUGUGUCGAUGCCGGGCCCCUUCAGGGUCUAGGAUGGGACAGUUGAACACGGGGGUGUGUUUCACUUAUGACCCUCUCUCAGUCAGUCUGCUAACCCUCAGUGUUCACUCUGUCCUUAGGGGACUUCCUGGAGGAGGCCAGCUUUGGAGAAGAGGCACUGGCACCUGGUCGGUGCCAAUCCGCGGUACUUGGAGAUAGGUUAUCCGUGUUGCCUUCGCUUUAUCUGUGACGAAUCAUACACGGUUCACCUAUUUUUCAGUACCAAAUCCCACUUCAGGGCGGGGACUUGGUGUCAGCUCCUCUCCAGGGUAAGCGGAGGGACCGUUGACCCCGGCUGAGCACAGAGCAGGUGCUUUCCUGGUGCUGUGUGCCCGGCCCCAGCCCUCUGUGUGCCCCAUCCACGGGAACCUUCCUGGAGGUGGUGCCAACUCAGGGGAGGCAGUGCAGGUUUUCCUACCAGAGCUACUCGGCGGUGCUUGAAGAGAGGUCUUCCAUGAUGCAUUCGCUUUAUUUUUCGACGAAUCAUACAUGGUUGACCUUUUUUUAAGUAUCAAAUCUGGCCUUAAAGCACCCUGGGACGAGGCCAACUUUGGGAACUAGAGUUGGCGUGCGCACGCCUGAAUGGAUGGUCAAGCUGCGCGUGUGCACGAUUUCCCAUGUGUGUGUCACCCGUGUUCACUCACCUCAGUGUGUCGUCGUCCACCUCUAGGGGUGCGCCAGUUUCCCCGCGAGGCGGUAGUUUCAUUGUAGAGUCACUGUGUGAUUGACAAGAGGCCAUCCACGUUGCUUACUCUUUGCGCGUAACACGUGAUGCUCUGCACACCUCCGUGUGGCAGCGUGUCCCUCCCUGAACGGCUUCCUGGAAGGGGUGCUGAUUUCAAGGAAGGGACAGUGGGGUCCGCACCUCUCGCCUGGACCACAGAGCAUGUGUUUUGUUGACAGUGUGUGUUGCCAGCAUCCUCACUCUCAGUAUCCCGUCCGUCCUUAGGCCUGCUGUCUGGAAUGUGCCGGAAGCCAGCACCCUAGCCAGGUACUCGAAUGGAGGUUGUCCAUGGUGUGUUCAUUUUAUUUAUGAUGAGUAUUACAUGGCCAAUCUCCUUUCAGUACUAAAUUCUUCUUGGGAAAACGUCACAAGGGGAAGUUUCAGCCGGCGCCUGGCCCAGGUAAGGAAACGGGUCAUCUACGCAUAAGUGCUUUCUGUGUGACACGUGUCACCUGGCCCAGGAUGCCCAGGGGUGACACUCAUUUUAGGUGAGACCGUGGUGUUCUAGUCAUACCCUCCCUUCCUUGAGGGCUCAUUAGUGAAUGAGUGUAUUUGGUACAUGUCUUUUGGGGAUAAAAUCACCUUGGAUAUGAGGCAUGUUUUAAGGAAAGAGACUUUUGCGUCACCCCAACAGCCCGGCCGAGUGGAAGGCACACACUUUAUUUAUGCAACGUGUUACUACCCCUUCGGUGUCCUGAUCCUCGGGGUGACCUCCAGGGAGGUGGUGGUGGUUGGGGGUUCCCUCGGCAGUGAGAAUCGAUGAUAUUUGCAGACAGGUUUCCAUGGCAUGGUCUGUUUAUUCCUGGUGCAAGAUAAGAAUCAUUAAUAGCAUUUGUUAUUACUUUAUGUUUGCUAGCUGUGUGACCUUGGGCAAGGUACUUAAUCUGCCACGUCUCUGUGCCUCAGUUUAUUUGUCUGUAAAAUGGGGUUAAUGCCUAUUCAUAGGGUAGGUAUAAAAGUGCUAUAUAUGGGGGCUGGCCCCAUGGCCGAGUGGUUAAGUUCACACGCUCCGCUGCGGCGGCCCAGGGUUCGGAUCCUGGGCACGGACAUGGCACUGCUCGUCAGGUCAUGUUGAGGCGGCUUCCCACAUGCCACAACUAGAAGGACUCACAACUAAGAUAUACAACUAUGUGCGGGGGGCGUUGGGGAGAUAAAGCAGAAAAAAAAAAAAAGUGCUAUAUAUGAGCUAAAUGAUGGCAGUGUCUGGCACAUAGUGACAUUGAGUAAGCAUUGGCCCUGGUGAUGGUUGUUAUUAUUAUCUCGUUAUUGUAUCAUCGAUCUUCAUUUACUGUCCUUCCCCACAGAGUGCAACCUCCCAGGGCAGAGGCUUGUCUGUCCUGCCCACUGCUGUGUCCCGAACAGUGCACAGUAGACGUGAUGCUGACUGUGUGAGUAAUGGCUGGUUGGCUAUUUUCUUUAUUAGAUGCUCCCUUUGAGGCCUCCUGGAAGGAAGAGUGAAUGAAGGGCAGCCGCAAGCCCGUGCUGGCCUGAGGGUACCAUCCACGCCCCCUCGCAGAGGAGUGGCCGGUCUGCAGGUCAGGGACCCCAGGCUGGGAGCUGCAUGGACCCUGCCAUGCUCACAACACAGGGAGAGCAUUAGACAGCUGCUCCCUCUCUGUGUUAAAUCGCAGCUUGGGGACUUCCCGGGGGAGACGCCAGCUUUGGGACAGGACUUCAGUGUCUGUGCCUCUCUAGGGUAAGUGACCAGAUGCUGCCCCAAGCAUGGGCCUGACUUAUGCUGUGUGUUCUCAAGGCCCCAGCCGCCACCCACACCCAGCCGAAGCCAGCUCAGGGGACGAUCCCCGGUGCCUGAUACCCUCCCUGACGACACACCGUGUUCCCAUCACACGUGGGGCUCCUCGGAUGUCGUGGCAGCCUCAGAGAGAGAGACAGGAAUUGGUGUCAGCGCCGGCCUGGGGAGACGCGCAGCCAGACACUGGAGGCGGUGCCACCGGUGGUGAAGAGGCGUCCUGGUGGUGUUCUUGUCCCUGCCGACGUUUGAUCCUUGAGCAGAGGUUGCCCUUGGUGAAUUCGCUUUAUUUAUGUUGAAUCACACAAAGGCAACUUUUGUUUGAGUAUCAAAUCCUGCCUGGGAUGGCUUCCGGGACCCAGCCCAGGGUCUCCACCUCUCCCGUGAACGAGAACGGAUGGUGUAGACGUGGGUGUCUACACGGCUCCAGUGGACAAGAAUGAACGUUGAUCAGAGAACACAAGCUCGAUCCGUGACAUGGGUCACCUGGGGCCCUUGCAGGAAGGUGUGAGUGCUACCUGCUACCGUUUUGGCCUGGGACCUCUGUCUUUACGUCACCAUUUUGACCACUGACCCCAAAGGCACUCUGCCUCCACCACUUUUUCUCUGAAGGUAUUUUGACCUUGCGGAUAUGUAGAGUUUGCACUCGACGAUUUUAAAGGCUGCAGCUUCUCAUUCUCUCUCUUUUGCUCCAGAUUCCUCUUGUCUUCUCUCUUCUCUCUGAAUUUUUCCUAUGCCUCUCUGCUUCUCUCUCUCUCUCACCCUGCCCAACACGGUUCUUCAUUUUCUCUUGGGUUAUGAAAUGAAUAGAGGCUGUCAGUAUUUCAUCCCAUCUGUAUUAAAUAAUAGUGAUAAAAAUAAUCAACACACAAUAAAACUAAAGUCAACUGUAGUGGCACAGAGUAGGACGUGUUCGAUUGACUACAAAUUGGCAGAAGCAUCCAAUUUCCUUGACAAGGUUUAGGCGGCCGCUUCGGACCCGGGGAGGUGGCGUGCAGUCCACGCGGUGGCCCUGGGAGGAGGCCGGUGGCGGCUCUGAGCGACGAUAUUCGAUGUACACAAAGCACAUCGAGGAGUCCAAUCUUCAUUCAGAUUUUUAAAUGGAAAAGAAUUGAUCCUAAUGAAAAUGAUUUUGGGAAAAUAACAGGGGAAAUAAAAGAAAUGAAAACAGCUCAGCAGCACAGUCGGAAAAGCUCAGCAGGGAAUUGGAUUAGUUUAAUGGAAUUUGCUCUGAAAAACAUGUCUUUAUGAAAACCAAUGUUGGUACAAUUCUCAUUAAGACGGUUAAAUUUGUGUGUGUUUGCAGUGGAGUUGACAGGGUCAGUGGGAACGGAGGGUCCGAGGCACGGUGUUUUGCUGCUGCUGAUCUUUCCUUUCUGUCCUAAAUCUUCCUGGAGAGCUUCCCAGUUGGGCAUGCUGGCUUCAGGGGUGGCACGCUGGUAAAGUGGGUGCAUGUUGUCACCAGAGCAUGCGCCAUCUUGGUGACAUGCCUCAGCUGGUCUGCUCCCUCUUGGUGGGGUUGUGGGUGGGGUGACGUGCUGACUCCAGCAGUGAGGCAGAACGUCCUGGGUCAGUGGGGACUUGUCCUCUGGACAGUUGUCUGCAGUGCUACUGUCGAGGACACAUGAAGGCUGGGACAUUCCUAUGUGCAAUCCUUCCUUGGACGCCAGGGUGUGGCCCCUCUCAGGGCUCCAUGCUGGCCCCAAGGACAUGCCCCUGACUGGUGCCAAGUGUUACCUGGUCAUGGAGGCUGAGCCUGUUUGGGAGGUGGUGGUCCUGGAGGCGCUGCUUCUGGGACUAAAGCCAUUUCCCGGGGCGUGAAAAGAGCUUGUCCUCUGCUGGCAGGCUUUAUUUACCACCAGCAGUGCGUGGUGCUUCUCUUUCCAGAUCAGCCCUGCCUUGGAGGAUUUCCAGGAGCGCGCCACCCUCAGGAGGUGGCCAGCAGUUGGAGGCCUCUGGAGGGUAGGUGCGUGGGUGCCGCCCCGGACGUGCCUUGAGUAUACUGAUGUGCGCCAUCUGGUCCUCUAGCUGUCGCGAUCCAGCCGGUUCUCACGGGCACUUCUGGAGGCGAUGCCAGCUCUGAGGAGGAGUCUCUGAACUGCAGGACGGCUUCCGGGAGGCGCCCACCGUUGCUGCAGCGGCCGUGGUCCUGGAGUCCGUGUCACCUUGGGUAGCUGAGGAGAGGUUGUCUGUGAUGAGUUCGCUUUAUUAAUGACGAAUAUAACACAGAUGGCCUGUCUUCAGUACCACCUACGCCUCGCAUGCAGGGCCGGGCCUGAGGCCUGCCCCGUCCAGGGUACGUGAAUGCAUGGGCUCUGCAAUGACAUUUACCACCCUCUCUGCUGACCUUCAACAUUUUGACUCCGUCCUGGGAGAGCUUCCUGGAGGGCAUGUCGACUUCGGGGAAGAAGCGGGGGUUUUGCAUUGGGGAGGCUGGUCAUGAAGCAUUCGCUUGACGUGUGACGAGUGACACGGGCUCUGGCUGUUUCCAUGCUCAGUGCCAUUGAGGCAGAGGGCUCCCCAAUGGAACCCCUCACUGAGGGCUGACCACAUGCAUGGCCUGCACCCGGGAAGCGUGUCCCGGCCGCGUUCCCCUCACCCCAGUGCCUCGGAGCCCCGCAGGGUGACACCCCUGGGAAGAGCCGGAGGCCUGCCUGCUGAGCGUGCUGCUCCACGUGGUGCUGAGGAGAGGUCGCCCGUGGCGCGUUCGCAUCCAUCAUGACGCACAAUACACGGUCGACCUCUCUUCAGUAUCAGCUCCCGCCUUGCAUGCCUCCUGCACGCCCGCCGUCGGGAGGGCCGCGCCGCCACUGCAUGGCCAAGGGCCCGCCCCUGCCACCUCGCAUCCCGCCCCCCCGGGGCGGGUGGCGGGCCGUCUGGAGGAAGAACCUCCCGUCUGGAGUCAGCCCUGCUCAGUGGUCCCUGAAAUAGGUUGCCUGUGAGGUGUUCACUUUCUAUACGAUGAAUAUUAUACAGUCAACCUCUUUCCGGAAUCGAAUCCCGCCGUGGACAACCUCCACUCCGGGUGCCGACUCCAGGCGGCGGAAGCCUCUGGAUUGGCUCACCUGGGCACCUGCUGUAGCUCCUGUGCCACCUGGCCUGGUAGUUUCCCAGCCCCCUCCGUUCUGGAGGGCUUCUCAAAACACCACGGAGGGACCUCUGAGUCCCCUAGUCGGUGCGCCCCAACAUCCCUGCCCCUGGCGGUUCCCUCCGCGUGGGGCCAGGCCUUUACCUGCUGGUCCCCAUUUCACCUUGGCAUCCUCACGUCCUCGGCCCUACUCAGACCACGGCAGGAUCACCGGGGGUGGGAAGGGUCCAGGGCAGUUGGACACGUGAACUCCAAGAUGCCUCCACAGGGUGGGCGAGGGGUCAGUGUUCGUUAACUGUCUCGUGGGCCUCAGGAAGCUCUUUCUGAGCGGGGUGGCAGCAUCCCCAGGGGUGCAGGACCACAUCCUCACCCUGGAGGUCUCACCACCGUGCAUGCCUCUCCCCUGUGGGAUUCUCUGUCAAGACGGGGGUCUCUCUGGGCCUGGACCACUGCACAGGCCUCCGUUGGUUCUCCCUCCACUGCCUCCUCCUCCUUCUGCCAGGGAGAACUCCCCAGAGUGCAGUCUGGCUCUCUCUGCACAGCCUGGAGCCCCUCUGUUGCACCCCUCCCCUCGUGGCUGGCUCCAAGAUGGUGACUAGUGUCCCAAGGCCCUGGACCGGCCACCCUCAUUCCUGCCACUUCCUGCCUUUCAUGCUUCACAGUAUGUCCCAGUUAGCAUCCCUCUGUCCUCCCACGGGGAGCUGAGUCCCGGUGGUCUCCUCUGUGCAGCCUGCCCCUAGCCUCCUGCCGUCCAGGGUCCAGACCUCCGUCCCCAGUCCCCGUGCCCUGCAUAUCCUUUUUUCAGGACACUCCACACAGUGUCCUGUUCCCCCUGCAAGUGGCAGCCCCCUUUCUAGAGCAGGAGUUCAGGAUUCUAGAGGGGAUGAAAUGUCCCUGGUCCCCCAGUCUAGCCCCCAACUCUUCCCAGCCAGCUUCAAUCAGCCACCCUGUCAGGUUUUCUGCCUUAGCUUUCUGCCAUCCAAAGUGAAUUGAGGUUAAUGUCUACUUCCCUCUCCCCUUAGACUGUAAGAUUUCUGAGGGCAGGCAUUUUUUCUGUCCUGUUACCUGGUGUGUCCCCAACCCCAGGACCCAGCCAGGCCCAUAGCAGAGGAAUGAUGGGUGUUUGUUGAUUGACUGUCAGACUCCCUAAGGGCAGGGACCUUAUGAAGUUAACCCCAGGAAAGUGCCAGGCCCAAAGGAGGCAGGCAAGAAGACUUGGUGAAGAGCCCAUGAAUAUGGUAAUCGGCUUUAGAAAUUCUUUGCAUUUGUUAAAAGCUGUUUGGUUUUCCGGCUUUUUCUGUCCUUUCCAGGAUGUGAUUUCAGAGUCUGAGGUUUGCUGCAAAAGAGACAGGUGAGCUGGUUGUGGGCUCUUCUUUCCACCUCCCAAGGGGUCCCCGGGGCCCUGAAAGGAGUGACCAGCCCCCAUAUGAUCCCGCAGACACCAACUGAGUGCGCCCCCAGCUUCCGGCCGAUCGGUGGCCGGCAGAGCCAGGUGCUCUGGGGAACUCCGUCUGCGACGGGCUGGAGCCUGGUGUCAGGGCUAAUAUUUUAUGCAUGGAACUGACUAAAUGGGAACAUUUGGAGAUGAAAAUUGCUUUAAUGCAGCCACACAUCUUUGUAAUAUAUUAAAUGUAUGUGGGGGGUGGGAGGCGACAUUACCCUUCCUUAAUAACUCCAAUGUAACCGUCCCCACACCACGGCAUUAACAAGCGCGGGCACCCCCCCGAGUCCGCUAUAGGCCACCGCUUGGGUACAUCAGUCACCACUUGAGAACUAUGCAUGAGACAAAGUGUCAGCCCAGGGUAGCAGGCAUUGCAGCGGGAUGUUCCAGACUCAUCUGAGACCCAAAGACAGUGACCCCAUGCUGCUGAGUGCAGAAUUUCAUUAAAAGCCAAAUUACUGGUUUAUCUGUUGUUUGAGGAGAAGAGAAAAUAAACAAAGAGCUUUUCUCAUCUGACAAGCUGAAUGAGAACGUCGGUCCCCCCAGCGGCCAGGAUGAGAUUCCCGGGGACCCUGAGCCGGAGGUUCAGAGCCCUGGGCCCACCUCUGAGGUGCUGCGUAAACCCAACCGUGGCUCCAAGUUCACGUGCACGCCUUUCCUGGUGCCUGCGUGGGCUGGUGUCCCAGCUCCCCGCACUGUGUCCCCUGGACACGGUUCCACAAGAAUCUGGAGGGCGUUGGGCAAAUCGGACCCACGUUCCCAUCCUCUUGUCAUUUUCAAGGGAGAUAAGAAAAAUCAUAGCUGCCCCAAAUGGGCUUUUGCCUUGUUCCUGGGCCCGCCUCCACUCUGGGGUGUUUACUCAUGCUCCUCCUCAGCCCUUGGGGGCAGGUUCUGUUUCACGGAUAAAGAAAUGGGGCACAGAGAGGUUGAGUGACUUGGCCAAGAUGAUCCAGCAGGGCGGCAGGGCAGGGUCUGGCUCCAGGCUGCUUGUUCUUAAUCAAGCUCGCUGCCUGCUGUUGCUUGCGAGCCAGCGCCUGGCUUCAGGAACUGUCCCUGUGUCCUAGAAGAAGGUGGGCCCGUCAAAUCUCCCCAAAUUCUCUUUGCACGAUGGGGUAGGCUCCCUUUUCCCCACACUUAGCUUGCUAUACUUUUCAUGGCCUUUAUCCCUGCACCCACCUGGGGUCUCCGGUGGCAUCGCCCACAAAAUGGGGGGUUGCAGCUGGGUGCAGCCCCGUGGCCCCUGGCUGUGCCUGGCCUGGGGGAGGGCUGCUGGCUCUGUCGGAAGCCUGGGUCCAGGGAGAUCUAGGUACUGAGACCGCAUGGCCCCGCGUCUUGCGGCCACAUUGAGCGCGUCUGACGGCGGUAUUUGCUGCCUCGUUGAGUGCAGAUCUAGUCAGGGCGGCCCGUGAGCUGGAACAGGGCGCAGACUCGCCAGCGCAUCUCUGCAGGGCGGGGCUCCCCCCAGGUCCCCCCCACCCCCGGCUUCCGGCUUGUACACCUCCUGGCACUGCACGGAGUGGUGGCUGGUGCCGUCCUGGAGACCACCCCCUACCCCUUCCCCGAGGUCACAGUCUCAGUGGGCCCCCGAGGAUGCAAAGAACCCCUAAAUGUCCAGGCUGAGUGAGACCUCUCGUCCCGUUGCCCCUGCCCCCUUGCACCUCCUUACAGGCAAGACCACGGAGCUCCAAGAGCUCUGCCAUGGCUUCUUCCUGUGGGUUGUCUCUAACUUUGAGGUUGAGACUUGAAAGGAAACAGGCUGCAAACGGCGCCCCUUGUGCUAAACCCCACCAGGACUCCACGCCUCGCCUGAGGGCGGUCCCAGCCGCUCCCCAAGCGCACUGUUGAACCCCUCAGUCUGGAAGUUCCUCGGGAGCCCCAGUGAGGUCGUCCGCCCCAUUAGACCCCCUGCCUAGAAAAUCCUGCCAUUUCCUACAGCUCCUUGGAGCUCCCUUCUGCUUGCGAGAUACAGUGCCCCGCGGUUCACGAAUCAUUGAAUUAAGCUAACCCGAUCUUGACAUUUCCUCAGCUGAAUCUAGGUUUUUAGUAAGACCCGCCUCUGGUGAAGAAGUAGGUUCCCUCCUUGUGACAGAGGGGACCCAGCAGCCUGGGGCUGUAGAAGCACCUAGUGGGACUCAGUACCCGCGGCGGGGAUGCUGCCUCCUGCCGCUGGGCUUCCCGAAGCCAUGGCCUUGACUCCGCGGAGCCGGCUCACAGUAGGUGCACAGCUAAUACCCGGAUCAAAGCUGGCCUCACACGCCGGCGCAGCGCAGGUGUUCAGCACGUGAGGGUGUAUUGAAUCCGAUCUUUAUAGCCGGGAGCGACUACGCAGGAGGCGCUGGGAGAAUGUUUGUGGAAUGAAUAAAUGAAAGCAUGCUCUGAGGGAAUAAAGAAGCAGAGACAGGAAGAAGAAUCUGGGGUAGACAGACAUGAAUCUCCGCCAAGGCCAUGCAGUCGAGGCCGCUGUGAAGACCCCGUGGAGGCAGAGGGGCCAUUUGUCACCAGCAGGGACAGGCCCUAGGGCCGGGAAGCACGGGCGCCAUGCGGUCUCGUUCAUCAUCAUCCCAUUAUUAGGGAUGGUGCCAUCUUACUCAGGACGUGGAGGACGCAUGCGAAGCGCGCUGCCCGCCAGCCCGCGGAGUGCGCGCAGGGCUGGGGCUGGGGAAGGACCCCGAGGAAGGGCAGGUCUGGGGCCCGGAAGGCCUGGUGUGGGCAGCAGGGAGGACAGGAGCCACAUUGGGCCACGUGGCCAGUCCCCGGGUAGGACUUUGGUGCCUUUAUGGCUGCAGGACCCAAAUGGGAGUGUGAUGGGACCUCUCAAAGAACUCUUCGGGUUCUGGGUGCUGAAGUUGUUUUCAUAUCUACAAGUCCCAGUGCCAUGCCUUUGCUCAAGCUGUGGCCCUGCCUGGAAUGCCUGUCCCUCCUUAUCCUUGAAGGCUCUGCUCCAGUGCUACCUCCUCCAGGAAGCCUUCCUUGAUCCACCUCUAUACAUACAACUCCAAUAUGCAGUCAGUUAUCAGUCCUCUGAUCCUUUGAUCAAUGUCUCUCCCUGCCCAGCUUUCAGGCUGCACAGAGGCAGGGACUGUUUCUGGUUUGGUCACCAUGGGACACAGAACCUAGCCCGGGGAAGGCGCCACAUGAUGCUCAUUGGCCUUGUCUUCCCUUUGCAGGUGUGCUGGACCAGGCGCUUGCCUGUGCCCAGUAUACAGACAUCCCAUGCAUGGAGCCUUUGGUUGACCCCAACCAUGAGCCAAGGGCUGGACCAGAGGAGCCUACACCAGACCUCUUGUGCCUGGAGAGACGUGCGCUGUGAGCUGGGGAGCCCAGCCUGAUCCUGGAGGAGUUCCUCGGUUCUGUGGCCAGCCUGCUCAUGGGCCAGCUCUGCUUUCUCUCUCCUCCCCUGAUCCCCUCUCCUGCUUCACCAGCCUCCAUAGUGGUCCCGGCUCCUCAGGGCACCCAUGCUCCAGCAGAGAGAUGCCCAGCGCCUGCCAGACCAGCGCCCCCUCCCGCCUCACCCAGGAGGAAGGAGAGGCCACCCGCAGCCCCACUGCUUAAAGGACCCUGACUGAGUACCGGGCCAGACCUCAGCGGGGAGGGCUGUUGGGGUCCGGGGAGAAGUACUGAGGGGAGAUAAACUCUAGUAAAAGAGCAAAUGACCCGUGCCCUUCUCCACCCACGGCGGGGCUGGGAGGUGAAGAUGUGGGUUCGAAGGAGGUCAAAUUCCUGCUCUUCUUUUUCAAACACUUUGAACAUUGUCAGGCCAUUUGAAUAAUAAAUACGCAUUAUAAAAAUCUAAGUGUGUUUGUGUGUCUGUGUGUUCCGAGAUGAUGCUCCUUAAGUGGAAGAAGGUUUGAAACAAAGGCCAUCUGCCUUCAAGAGGGAGUCUCAGAGAGAGUCACUGGCCUUUGCCCGCGGGCCCUUGGCAGGGAGCAUCUCCCCGCUCAGGGGUCCAUCCCCCCGCGGGUGAGCUCACACUCCCAGGUGGGCGCCAGGGCCACGAAAAGACCUGAAAAGACCCGCUUUCCUCUCCAUCAGAGGUCUGAUGACUCCCCAGCCCCAGCUUCCGGCCCCCCCGGGCCGCGGCCAGGGCCCCGGGGCAGAGCGGGCGCCCACGCCUCCGCUGCCAGCCUCCGCCUGGUCACGACGCAGCCGGGCUGACUCAGCCGGGCCGCGCGGAGCCGCGUCAAUUACAUAAUUA
RNAcentral lists this long non-coding RNA (27426 nucleotides) under Equus caballus (horse). The record is from RNAcentral. Lineage: Eukaryota; Metazoa; Chordata; Mammalia; Perissodactyla; Equidae.